Molecule: long non-coding RNA, 263 nt
Filed under: Brassica napus (rape)
Lineage: Eukaryota; Viridiplantae; Streptophyta; Magnoliopsida; Brassicales; Brassicaceae
Description: long non-coding RNA (BNAP_LNC019518)
Source: RNAcentral
GAAAUUUGUUUCUUUAGCAAUUUUUUCCUAUAGAACUUAUAUUUAAAUCUUUGUUUCUAUUUUUUAUCUAUUUUUUGAGAUAUGUCAAGCUGCUAUAACGAUGAUGGUAUAAGAGUGAUGUAAACGAUGGCAUCGACGUAGACAAGAGCAACAGUGACGUAUAUGCUAUCUAUGUGCUUCAGAUCUUGUAUCAUUAGACGAGAAAUCAAGUGUGUUCUCUUCUCAUGUGUCUUCUUGCCUGUCUUUCAUCGUAUACCCCACCG